RNAcentral lists this ribosomal RNA (291 nucleotides) under uncultured Sphingobacteriales bacterium. RNAcentral describes it as "partial 16S ribosomal RNA". It matches the Rfam family "Bacterial small subunit ribosomal RNA", at positions 1094 to 1382 of the family's 1533-position model. Lineage: Bacteria; Pseudomonadati; Bacteroidota; Sphingobacteriia; Sphingobacteriales. The record is from RNAcentral.
GAGCGCAACCCCUACCUUUACGUUGCCAUCAGGUUAAGCUGGGGACUCUAAAGGAACUGCCUACGCAAGUAGUGAGGAAGGCGGGGAGUGACGUCAAAUCAGCACGGCCCUUACGUCCAGGGCUACACACGUGCUACAAUGGCCGAUACAGAGGGCAGCUACCUGGUGACAGGAUGCAAAUCUCCAAAGUCGGUCUCAGUUCGGAUCGGAGUCUGCAACCCGACUCCGUGAAGUUGGAUUCGCUAGUAAUCGCGCAUCAGCCAUGGCGCGGUGAAUACGUUCCCGGGCCUU